This 433-nucleotide ribosomal RNA is filed under the name uncultured bacterium. RNAcentral describes it as "partial 16S ribosomal RNA". It matches the Rfam family "Bacterial small subunit ribosomal RNA", at positions 29 to 507 of the family's 1533-position model. The record is from RNAcentral.
AACGAACGCUGGCGGCAUGCCUAACACAUGCAAGUCGAACGAGACCUUCGGGUCUAGUGGCGCACGGGUGCGUAACGCGUGGGAACCUGCCCUUAGGUUCGGAAUAACUCCCCGAAAGGGGUGCUAAUACCGGAUAAUGUCUUCGGACCAAAGAUUUAUCGCCUUUGGAUGGGUCCGCGUUGGAUUAGCUAGUUGGUAGGGUAAAAGCCUACCAAGGCGACCAUCCAUAGCUGGUCUGAGAGGAUGAUCAGCCACACUGGGACUGAGACACGGCCCAGACUCCUACGGGAGGCAGCAGUGGGGAAUAUUGGACAAUGGGCGAAAGCCUGAUCCAGCAAUGCCGCGUGAGUGAUGAAGGCCUUAGGGUUGUAAAGCUCUUUUACCCGGGAUGAUAAUGACAGUACCGGGAGAAUAAGCUCCGGCUAACUCCGUG